Long non-coding RNA from Coffea eugenioides, 3101 nucleotides. RefSeq lists it as uncharacterized. The record is from RefSeq and is a predicted model, not a curated record. The transcript is spliced from 8 exons. NCBI's taxonomy places the organism in Eukaryota, Viridiplantae, Streptophyta, Magnoliopsida, Gentianales, Rubiaceae.
CUUCAUUUUACAACUUUAGCCCAUCAUCUUUGUUUUCUUCUUCGUUUCUUUCUCUCUGUUUCCCGUUUCUUUAUUUCUCCUUUUUUUUCUUGCUGGUUCAACGAAGAAAAGUACAACUUCAAUUCUUCCAUCAGUAGCCAAUUGUUUAGAAGUGUUUUUGACUUUUUCCCUAGCAUUCUUGCCCUCUCUUUCCCGUUCUUUCCGUUUCGUUUUCUUUUUGCUUCAGAAGAAGCAUAUUUGCAGAUUUCAUUUUCUUUUCAUGUUAAGCUCUACAUUUUCUCCUUCGUCCCUCCCUCUCUGUUUCCAUUCCUUUGUUUCUCUUUUGUUUUCUUCCUGGAUCGGACAAACAAAAGUACCAACUUAUCUGCUCCAACACCUGGUCAAUAAUUUGACCAUCUUUUCCCCCAAAAUAUGGCCGCUCAUCCAUAUCCCAAUCGUGCUAUUGUUCCAGAAAGAGUCAAUUGUGGCUGCUCAUCCAUAUCCCAACUAUGCGAUUAUUCCACAAAGAGUCAGGAACACAAACACUGCUCACAAAAAAAAUCAACGCUUCUUCCUCCUUUUGCUCUGUAACAUCUCCGAGUAAAGGGGUUUAAUUGCACUUUGAAAGAAUUGGUGCAGAAGAGCUUCUGAUUUAGCGUUCACAGAUUUCAGUUGGGUUUAGUUACGAUUUAAAAGAGUCGGUGCUAAAGAAGCUUUGGUUUGGGGUUGGCAGAUUCAUAUUAAGGAAUUGCUUCAAUUCAAGGAUGGCACCAAGGCAUUCCGAAAAAGGGAAUAAAGGCACAAACUAAGAGAUUGAGAAAAAAAAAACUUACAACCGAAUCUAUUUGCCCCAUCAAUGUCUCUAAUGUAGAUGAAUUACUUGAGAAUGAAGAGGCUGUAAUGAGUAGCUUUCAAGAAGAUCCAGAUUUCGUUUCCGUGCGAGAGUAUUAUGCUUAUAAGCUCCAGAAGCAGAUACAGAUUGGAUCAUAAAAUGUUCAUCAUGCAGACAAGAAGCCAAAGUGGAACUAAGGUGUCGCAUUGGAAUAACAGUGACCGAUCCAACUGCAAGCAUUCAAUGCUUAAUAUCUGGAAAAGAAGCUGAAAGACUGAUACAAUUGACUGCUGCGCAGCUUAAGGAUGCAGAGGCACAUGGAAUAACAAUGAACCAAGAACUCUCUGCCAUCAUGAAAAAGUACAGGUUGAUCUGUUUUAUCAAAACAUAUGAGACAACUUUUCAAGGACAACUUCAAAGAAGAAAUGCAAUCAUCAAAGCCUACCCAACAGCUGAAGUCCCCAACAUAUCAUUGGCUCUAUUAGAUUCACCACCAACUCUCCAAGCUUCAGAAACUGGAACAACAUCAAACACCAAGCAAAAACAAGUCAUAGAACAACAAACGUUCACACCAACAGCCAAGUUGCUCCUUCAAGAAAUAGCCGAAUCCACUGCUACUAAAAAAAGCUUCAUCACUAAAUCAACAACUGCUGCAACAACCAGCCACAAACUGCUUGAAGACACUGCUACCUCAGCUUCACCAAAUACCACCCCAAUCGACGAAACUGCUGCCAGCCCAACAAAGAAACCAAAACAGGAAGGAAAAGGGAAUUGAACACUCCCCAACCCUUACUAAAACCUUUUGAUAUUGCUAGAGAAGAACUUAGCAGGUCUAUCAUGCCUAAAUUGUAGUUUUAGAAUCCAUUGCUCCAAUAUUUUUUGAUAGAGCAAUGCAUUCUAAUACUUAGAAUUAGUACCUCCUCCCUCACCUGCUAACAACUCCUAUUACCAGAACCAUAAACCUGUAAAGCCUAGGUUCAUGACUUUGUCAAGCUGAAAAUGCAGUAUUAGAAUCCAUUGCUCCAAUAUCUUUUGAUAGAGUAGUGCAUUCUAAUACUCAUAUGUCAUAUAAGCUUCUCUAGCAAUCAAUAAUAUGUGCAGUACUUCUAUACGUUCCAAAUGAGCGGUUUACUUUUCAUAUAAGUUAAAAAUUUACAUAUGUUUCUCCAUAUAUCUACUUUAUUGCAUUCAUUUAAUUACAAGUUGAAAGUGUUGGUGCAGAAAAGCCUUUUAUUUGGGGUUCACAGAUUUGCACUAAGGAAUUGCUUCAAUUUCAGGUCACUUUCUCCUCUUCCUUGACUACACGCUAUAAUGUUUGUGCUUAAGUUUUGUUAUAUUUCAUCUAUUAUUCAUAAUUUUUUCAGUUGUAGGUUCGUUUGAUCUCACUUAUUAAUUGAACGUAUGCUUUAUACGAUUAUGGUGAGGUUGGCUAAUCAAUAGAUUUAUAUGUACUGGAAGCAAACGAGUAUGAUCAAGGAAGAUCACCUACUUGCUGCAAUCAAAGUUGCUGCUUCUAUCAGGGGACACAACCUAUCAGUAAGCUUUUCUUCACAUAAUUGGCCUUAAGGUCAACGAAAAGACUGCAGCAUCAUAGCAUUAUCUCAUCUUACUUCACUUUACCUUAACUUUGUUGGUAAAUCCAGGGAUCAGGAAUUUGAUAAAAUGAAAUUCAAUGAGUGAAAAUUGAGAUGUCCCUUUUUGUGCUAUAUAAAUUCUUAUGUUCUAAAUUAUUGAAUUUCGCAUAUACUGAUUAUCUAUGGUUUACAUUUCUAGCUGCAUGGUUUUGUAAAGAAAGGGAAAUUGCAGGAUGCCCUCACUAGCAUCGACCUUCUAAUCAUUCCUGUUCGAGUUCAUAGGAAACUAGCAAUGACUAAAGAUGACCUUUUUAAUAUCAAUCCUCACAUUGUUAGGACUCUAUGAACGAAUUUCAAAGUGCUGUGCGAAAGCUAUUAUUCGCAUGGUGCCAUUUGGGGCUGCAAUGAACGUCACAUCUUGCCAUCAAACAUUUGGGCUGCAAGGAAUUUCAAAGUGUUUGUAAAGUUACGCACUAUUGUUCUACGAUUCAGUUAAUUUUGUUUUGGUGUUGUCUAGAUAUCUUUAUUAUCAAUAUUUGGUAAUUCAAAGUCCAACAUGCUUGAAUUAGCCAAAGAUUUGAAUUUUUUUUGGUCAUAAUUCUUCUGCAAGCUGUACAAAUUAUUGUAAAACUGUGGAAUUGUAUGUGAUCGAGCUGUACAAAUUAUUGUAAAAAUCUGGAAUCAUACGUGAGUGUGUAUCUUUCUGCAUGAAAGAA